Molecule: long non-coding RNA, 498 nt
Filed under: Zostera marina
Lineage: Eukaryota; Viridiplantae; Streptophyta; Magnoliopsida; Alismatales; Zosteraceae
Description: long non-coding RNA (ZMAR_LNC004650)
Source: RNAcentral
UAUACAUAUACAUAUACAUAUACAUAUACAUAUACAUAUACAUAUACAUAUAUACAUAUACAUACACAUAUACAUAUACACAUACACAUAUACAUAUACCUAAAGUCGGUCGCGCAGGAUCUACAUAUACAUAUACAUAUACAUAUACAUAUACAUAUACAUAUACAUAUACAUAUACAUAUACAUAUACAUAUACAUAUACAUAUACAUAUACAUAUACAUAUACAUAUACAUAUACAUAUACAUAUACAUAUACAUAUACAUAUACAUAUACAUAUACAUAUAUACAUAUACAUAUACAUAUAUACAUAUACAUAUACAUAUACAUAUACAUAUAUACAUAUACAUAUACAUAUACACAUAUACAUAUACAUAUACACAUAUACAUAUACAUAUACACAUAUACAUAUACAUAUACACAUAUACAUAUAUACAUAUAUAUUUCAUUAAAACCUGACUAUAUAUUGACGAGACAUGUAAUUAUAUGUAUCUCCGCAG